Stegostoma tigrinum is the source of this 192-nucleotide small nuclear RNA. RefSeq annotates it as U2 spliceosomal RNA. NCBI's taxonomy places the organism in Eukaryota, Metazoa, Chordata, Chondrichthyes, Orectolobiformes, Stegostomatidae. The record is from RefSeq and is a predicted model, not a curated record. The transcript has a single exon.
UCUGCAUCUCGGCCUACUGGCUAAAAUCAAGUGUAGUUUGUGUUCUGAUCAGUUUUAAUAUCUGAUAUGCCCUUUCUGUAAGGAUCCUGUAUUUAACUGAUUUUUGGAGCAGGGAGUUGGAGUAGGGGCUUGCUCCAUCCACUCUGCGCAUCGACUUGGUAUUGCAGUGCUUCCAGGAAUGGUGCACCCCUC